RNAcentral lists this ribosomal RNA (479 nucleotides) under uncultured bacterium. RNAcentral describes it as "bacterial SSU rRNA". It matches the Rfam family "Bacterial small subunit ribosomal RNA", at positions 28 to 516 of the family's 1533-position model. The record is from RNAcentral.
GACGAACGCUGGCGGCGUGCCUAACACAUGCAAGUCGAACGGAGCUAUUCAUGAGCUUGCUUAGGAAUAGCUUAGUGGCGGACGGGUGAGUAACGCGUGAGUAACCUGCCUUUCAGAGGGGGAUAACGUUCUGAAAAGAACGCUAAUACCGCAUAACAUAUCGGAGCUGCAUGGCUCUGAUAUCAAAAGAGCAAUCUGCUGAAAGAUGGACUCGCGUCCGAUUAGAUAGUUGGUGGGGUAACGGCUCACCAAGUCGACGAUCGGUAGCCGGACUGAGAGGUUGAACGGCCACAUUGGGACUGAGACACGGCCCAGACUCCUACGGGAGGCAGCAGUGAGGGAUAUUGGGCAAUGGGGGGAACCCUGACCCAGCAACGCCGCGUGAGGGAAGACGGUUUUCGGAUUGUAAACCUCUGUCCUCUGUGAAGAUAAUGACGGUAGCAGAGGAGGAAGCUCCGGCUAACUACGUGCCAGCCGCC